This is a long non-coding RNA of Agrilus planipennis (emerald ash borer), 604 nucleotides long. RefSeq lists it as uncharacterized. Lineage: Eukaryota; Metazoa; Arthropoda; Insecta; Coleoptera; Buprestidae. The record is from RefSeq and is a predicted model, not a curated record. The transcript is spliced from 3 exons.
CAGCGCAGACGUCAGAUUUAUAGGUUAUACUCCGGGCGACGAAGCGAAACAGUCAGAAUUUGAGGAAUUACAGGGGUGGAGACGCACGCGGAAGAUAUAGUGGUUUUCGCAGAAACCGUGGAGGAACAUGACAGAAUCUUGGAUCAAGUUUUGAAAAAAUUAAAAGAAGCUGGUGUUACUAUUAAUAGGGAUAAAUGUCGUAUUGGGGUAGAAGAAAUAACGUUUUUGGGACACCGAGUCUCAAAAGAAGGAAUGGUAAAUUAUGCAGCUAAGUUUAUUCCAAAUAAAUCUGAAAUUAUAGAACCGUUAAAUUCAUUGUUACCUGAUAAUGUACAAUUUGUCUGGUUUGAUAAACAGCAGGAAGCGUUCGAUAAGAUAAAAACUGUAUUACAGCACGCGCCGGUAUUAACUCACUUCGAUUAUAAUAAAACAAACAUUAUUUAAGCAGACGCGUCAAGUUAUGAGAUCGGGGGAGCUUUGAUUCAGGAAGAAGGUACGGGCGAAAGAAAAGUAGUUGCUUAUAUGUCAAAAAAGCUUACGGUGGGAGAGCAAAAAUAUAGUCAGAUAGAGAAAGAAGCUUUGAGUUUAGCUUAUUCAGCAGAAA